RNAcentral lists this ribosomal RNA (549 nucleotides) under uncultured bacterium. RNAcentral's name for it is "bacterial SSU rRNA". It matches the Rfam family "Bacterial small subunit ribosomal RNA", at positions 355 to 896 of the family's 1533-position model. The record is from RNAcentral.
UGGGGAAUAUUGGACAAUGGGCGAAAGCCUGAUCCAGCCAUGCCGCGUGUGUGAAGAAGGCCUUUUGGUUGUAAAGCACUUUAAGUGGGGAGGAAAAGCUUAUGGUUAAUACCCAUAAGCCCUGACGUUACCCACAGAAUAAGCACCGGCUAACUCUGUGCCAGCAGCCGCGGUAAUACAGAGGGUGCAAGCGUUAAUCGGAAUUACUGGGCGUAAAGCGCGCAUAGGUGGUUAUUUAAGUCAGAUGUGAAAGCCCCGGGCUUAACCUGGGAACUGCAUCUGAUACUGGAUAACUAGAGUAGGUGAGAGGGGAGUAGAAUUCCAGGUGUAGCGGUGAAAUGCGUAGAGAUCUGGAGGAAUACCGAUGGCGAAGGCAGCUCCCUGGCAUCAUACUGACACUGAGGUGCGAAAGCGUGGGUAGCAAACAGGAUUAGAUACCCUGGUAGUCCACGCCGUAAACGAUGUCUACCAGUCGUUGGGUCUUUUAAAGACUUAGUGACGCAGUUAACGCAAUAAGUAGACCGCCUGGGGAGUACGGCCGCAAGGUUA